AUGGGUGUCCCUUACACUCCAAGAGUUGACAAUCAUGCACAAGGGACAGGCAAGAAGGUGCUUAUUGAUAUUCCGGACACGACUCCGCGACCUACUGUCAAGCCUAAGGAUGCUGAAUCAGUCGAUAAGGACAUCUUUGUUGAUCUCUCUCCAUUGGCAACAUCUGUUGGGGUGAUUGAAAAGCAGAAUGAGCGUGAGGAGAGGGACCCUAUGGAUUUCACGCCACCACCGUUCGACCUCGGAAUUGAUUUGAGCAGUCAAAGGAGCCAGUUGAUGCUAUCCCAGUCUCAUAUGCAUUCCCGUCCCAGCCGGACCUGA
This 318-nucleotide ribosomal RNA is filed under the name Triticum aestivum (bread wheat). RNAcentral's name for it is "partial small subunit ribosomal RNA". Lineage: Eukaryota; Viridiplantae; Streptophyta; Magnoliopsida; Poales; Poaceae. The record is from RNAcentral.